UCAGAUGAACGCUAGCGGCAGGCCUAAUACAUGCAAGUCGGACGGGAUUUAGGAGCUUGCUCUUAAUGAGAGUGGCGCACGGGUGCGUAACACGUAUGUAACCUACCAUUGUCAGGGGGAUAGCCUCUCGAAAGAGAGAUUAAGACCGCAUAACAUCAUAGAGCAGCAUUGCUUAGUGAUCAAAUAUUUAUAGGACAAUGAUGGGCAUGCGGGACAUUAGCUAGAUGGUGAGGUAACGGCUCACCAUGGCGACGAUGUCUAGGGGAUCUGAGAGGAUGACCCCCCACACUGGUACUGAGACACGGACCAGACUCCUACGGGAGGCAGCAGUAAGGAAUAUUGGUCAAUGGAGGGAACUCUGAACCAGCCAUGCCGCGUGCAGGAAGACGGCCCUACGGGUUGUAAACUGCUUUUGUACGGGAAUAAACCUAGAUACGUGUAUCUAGCUGAAUGUACUGUAAGAAUAAGGAUCGGCUAACUCCGUGCCAGCAGCCGCGGUAAUACGGAGGAUCCAAGCGUUAUCCGGAUUUAUUGGGUUUAAAGGGUGCGUAGGCGGCUUGUUAAGUCAGGGGUGAAAGGCGGUAGCUUAACUAUCGGAGUGCCCUUGAUACUGACGAGCUUGAAUGCAGCUGAGGUAGGCGGAAUGUGACAAGUAGCGGUGAAAUGCAUAGAUAUGUCACAGAACACCGAUUGCGAAGGCAGCUUACUAAAGUGCGAUUGACGCUGAGGCACGAAAGCGUGGGGAUCAAACAGGAUUAGAUACCCUGGUAGUCCACGCCCUAAACGAUGAAUACUCGAUGUUGGCGAUAUACGGUCAGCGUCUAAGCGAAAGCGUUAAGUAUCCACCUGGAG
Molecule: ribosomal RNA, 852 nt
Filed under: Mucilaginibacter sp.
Lineage: Bacteria; Pseudomonadati; Bacteroidota; Sphingobacteriia; Sphingobacteriales; Sphingobacteriaceae
Description: bacterial SSU rRNA
Rfam family: Bacterial small subunit ribosomal RNA
Source: RNAcentral